This 238-nucleotide ribosomal RNA is filed under the name Carollia perspicillata (Seba's short-tailed bat). RNAcentral's name for it is "partial 12S ribosomal RNA". It matches the Rfam family "Bacterial small subunit ribosomal RNA", at positions 886 to 1244 of the family's 1533-position model. Lineage: Eukaryota; Metazoa; Chordata; Mammalia; Chiroptera; Phyllostomidae. The record is from RNAcentral.
GCCAAAGCCUAAAACUCAAGGGACUUGGCGGUGCUUUAUAUCCUUCUAGAGGAGCCUGUUCUAUAAUCGAUAAACCCCGAUAAACCUCACCAACCCUUGCCAACUCAGCCUAUAUACCGCCAUCUUCAGCAAACCCUGAAAAGGACCCACAGUAAGCUCAAUAAUAGUACAUAAAGACGUUAGGUCAAGGUGUAGCCUAUGGGUUGGAAAGAAAUGGGCUACAUUUCCUAAUAUUAGG